Molecule: ribosomal RNA, 254 nt
Filed under: uncultured bacterium
Lineage: Bacteria
Description: partial 16S ribosomal RNA
Rfam family: Bacterial small subunit ribosomal RNA
Source: RNAcentral
UACGUAGGGGGCGAGCGUUGUCCGCAUUUACUGGGCGUAAAGCGCGCGUAGGCGGUUUCUUAAGUCUGGGGUGAAAGGUUCAACGCUCAACGUGAACAGUGCCUUGGAUACUGGGAGACUUGAGUCUGGGAGGGGGCAGUGGAAUUCCUGGUGUAGCGGUGAAAUGCGUAGAUAUCAGGAGGAACACCGGUGGCGAAGGCGGCUGCCUGGCCUAAGACUGACGCUGAGGUGCGAAAGCGUGGGUAGCGAACGGG